RNAcentral lists this long non-coding RNA (278 nucleotides) under Elaeis guineensis (African oil palm). RNAcentral describes it as "long non-coding RNA (EGUI_LNC011461)". The record is from RNAcentral. Lineage: Eukaryota; Viridiplantae; Streptophyta; Magnoliopsida; Arecales; Arecaceae.
AGUGGUAUCCUAUCGUGUUCAUAUUUUUGCUCAAGUAUACGUCACCAGUUGUAUGCCUCGCAUUGUAACAGAUAUGUUGUGUAGCGAAUCUUCUCUUCAUCGUAGCAUUCUUGCACAGCGAAUGCCUUAUCUAUUUUCAUAAUCCAGUUAUCUGCUUCCAGUGGCUCGAUGGUCCCUUUGAAGGCUGGAGGGGCUAGCUUCUUAAACUCGACGAUAUUGUUUCUCUGCAUCGGAUGUUCUCCAUGUCCAGGUGUCGGUGGAAAAUACUGACGUGGCUG